CCCCAGUAACGGCGAGUGAAGCGGCAACAGCUCAAAUUUGAAAUCUGGCCCCAGGCCCGAGUUGUAAUUUGCAGAGGAUGCUUUUGGCGCGGUGCCUUCCGAGUUCCCUGGAACGGGACGCCAUAGAGGGUGAGAGCCCCGUACGGUUGGACACCAAGCCUUUGUAAAGCUCCUUCGACGAGUCGAGUAGUUUGGGAAUGCUGCUCAAAAUGGGAGGUAUAUUUCUUCUAAAGCUAAAUAUAGGCCAGAGACCGAUAGCGCACAAGUAGAGUGAUCGAAAGAUGAAAAGCACUUUGAAAAGAGGGUUAAACAGCACGUGAAAUUGUUAAAAGGGAAGCGCUUGUGACCAGACUUGCGUCCGGUGAAUCACCCAGCUCUCGCGGCUGGGGCACUUCGCCGGCACAGGCCAGCAUCAGCUUGCCGUCGGGGACAAAAGCUUCAGGAACGUAGCUCUCUUCGGGGAGUGUUAUAGCCUGUUGCAUAAUACCCUUCGGCGGGCUGAGGUACGCGCUCCGCAAGGAUGCUGGCGUAAUGGUCAUCAGCGACCCGUCUUGAAAAGGA
RNAcentral lists this ribosomal RNA (561 nucleotides) under Colletotrichum destructivum. Its description in RNAcentral is "eukaryotic LSU rRNA". It matches the Rfam family "Eukaryotic large subunit ribosomal RNA", at positions 78 to 665 of the family's 3401-position model. Lineage: Eukaryota; Fungi; Ascomycota; Sordariomycetes; Glomerellales; Glomerellaceae. The record is from RNAcentral.